This 253-nucleotide ribosomal RNA is filed under the name uncultured bacterium. RNAcentral's name for it is "partial 16S ribosomal RNA". It matches the Rfam family "Bacterial small subunit ribosomal RNA", at positions 524 to 776 of the family's 1533-position model. The record is from RNAcentral.
UACAGAGGUCUCAAGCGUUGUUCGGAUUCAUUGGGCGUAAAGGGUGCGUAGGCGGCGCGGUAAGUCGGGUGUGAAAUCUCGGGGCUUAACUCCGAAACUGCAUUCGAUACUGCCGUGCUUGAGGACUGGAGGGGAGACUGGAAUUUACGGUGUAGCGGUGAAAUGCGUAGAUAUCGUAAGGAAGACCAGUGGCGAAGGCGGGUCUCUGGACAGUUCCUGACGCUGAGGCACGAAGGCCAGGGGAGCAAACGGG